Molecule: ribosomal RNA, 497 nt
Filed under: uncultured bacterium
Lineage: Bacteria
Description: partial 16S ribosomal RNA
Rfam family: Bacterial small subunit ribosomal RNA
Source: RNAcentral
GAUGAACGCUGGCGGCGUGCCUAAUACAUGCAAGUCGAGCGAACAGAUGAGGAGCUUGCUCCUCUGACGUUAGCGGCGGACGGGUGAGUAACACGUGGAUAACCUACCUAUAAGACUGGGAUAACUUCGGGAAACCGGAGCUAAUACCGGAUAAUAUAUUGAACCGCAUGGUUCAAUAGUGAAAGACGGUUUUGCUGUCACUUAUAGAUGGAUCCGCGCCGCAUUAGCUAGUUGGUAAGGUAACGGCUUACCAAGGCAACGAUGCGUAGCCGACCUGAGAGGGUGAUCGGCCACACUGGAACUGAGACACGGUCCAGACUCCUACGGGAGGCAGCAGUAGGGAAUCUUCCGCAAUGGGCGAAAGCCUGACGGAGCAACGCCGCGUGAGUGAUGAAGGUCUUCGGAUCGUAAAACUCUGUUAUUGGGGAAGAACAUAUGUGUAAGUAACUAUGCACGUCUUGACGGUACCUAAUCAGAAAGCCACGGCUAACUACGUG